AACCUACCUAUAAGACUGGGAUAACUUCGGGAAACCGGAGCUAAUACCGGAUAAUAUAUUGAACCGCAUGGUUCAAUAGUGAAAGACGGUUUUGCUGUCACUUAUAGAUGGAUCCGCGCCGCAUUAGCUAGUUGGUAAGGUAACGGCUUACCAAGGCAACGAUGCGUAGCCGACCUGAGAGGGUGAUCGGCCACACUGGAACUGAGACACGGUCCAG
RNAcentral lists this ribosomal RNA (217 nucleotides) under uncultured Staphylococcus sp. RNAcentral describes it as "partial 16S ribosomal RNA". It matches the Rfam family "Bacterial small subunit ribosomal RNA", at positions 123 to 334 of the family's 1533-position model. The record is from RNAcentral. Lineage: Bacteria; Bacillati; Bacillota; Bacilli; Caryophanales; Staphylococcaceae.